GAUGAACGCUAGCGGCAGGCUUAACACAUGCAAGUCGAGGGGCAGCAUAGAUUGCUUGCAAUCUGAUGGCGACCGGCGCACGGGUGCGUAACGCGUAUGAAACCUACCUAAUACAGGGGGAUAGCCCAGAGAAAUUUGGAUUAAUACCCCAUGGUACUGUUGGAUCGCAUGAUUCAAUAGUUAAAGAUUUAUCGGUAUUAGAUGGUCAUGCGUUCUAUUAGUUAGUUGGAAAGGUAACGGCUUCCCAAGACAUCGAUAGAUAGGGGCCCUGAGAGGGGGAUCCCCCACACUGGUACUGAGACACGGACCAGACUCCUACGGGAGGCAGCAGUGAGGAAUAUUGGACAAUGGAGGCAACUCUGAUCCAGCCAUGCCGCGUGAAGGAAGACUGCCCUAUGGGUUGUAAACUUCUUUUAUAGAGGAAGAAACGCAGAUACGUGUAUUUGUUUGACGGUACUCUACGAAUAAGGAUCGGCUAACUCCG
This 484-nucleotide ribosomal RNA is filed under the name uncultured Kordia sp. RNAcentral describes it as "bacterial SSU rRNA". It matches the Rfam family "Bacterial small subunit ribosomal RNA", at positions 28 to 505 of the family's 1533-position model. The record is from RNAcentral. Lineage: Bacteria; Pseudomonadati; Bacteroidota; Flavobacteriia; Flavobacteriales; Flavobacteriaceae.